GCCAACACACCGUCAACCAUGAGAUCAACUCCAAGGCUACAGCCACUGCCAGCCAUGUCCUGCCUCUAAAACAAAAACCUACCGUUUAUAAAGCCUUUUAACGCACACACCAAAAGCAGACUUGCUGCUGAUUUUUACUACGUAAAUUUUUUUUUCUGAAAACGUGGGAUUUUUUUCUAAUAAGAAGCAGAGAAGAUGUCUCCCCCCGCGCAGGAGAAGAGGAGGUCUGGCGUUCAGCUGCUGAGCGCGGCGCUGCUGCUGCUCGCGCUCUCUGGUUGUUCAGGCAUGGAUGUAACUGUGUCCAGUUACAUUAAUGCACUGAAUGGAACAACUGUCAGAAUCCAGUGCAUAUUUACUUCCUGCUAUAAGAUGGAUGCCACGAAGUUUGCCAUGAACUGGACCUACCAAGAAACAUUAAAUGAUACAGAAGAGAUGUUUAUGACAUACUCCAGGAAAAAAGGAAUGGUGCCUCUUCGUUCAGACCGGUUUGGAGAAAGGGUCAUGUUUUCCGGGAACCUGGAUAAGAACGACCUGUCAUUCACCCUGUCAGAUGUGCAGCUUGAGGAUGAGGGGGUUUACAACUGCUAUGUGAGAAACCCCCCAGACCGCAUUCAGGGACAUGGUGUCAUACAGCUCAAAGUUGUCACUGAACUUCCCCCUCCGAGGGAUUCAACCAUCGCAGUUGCGAUUGGGGCAUCGGUGGGAGGUGCAUUAGCUUUGCUCAUCUUGUCCAUGGUUGUCGUGAAAUGUCUUCGGCGACAUCGGAAACAGGAACUGAUUUCAGAGGAGAAGAUGGAGGAGGAGGGAAAGCUUGAGGCUGAAGGUGUUGCAGAGGAGGGAACCAAACAACCAUAGCUGGGUCAUCCGAUUGAAGAGCCUGUAGAGCCCUCACCCCCAACACUUCCUCUGACAUGUGCACCCCCUUCCUGAAGAUCUAUAGUAACCACUGCUUGAAUUGGCUUCUCUGUGUGUGAGUGGAUGUAAUGAAUGUCUAUGUGUGUGUGCGUAUUUCUGUAUGAGAUCCAUCUUUUUCCUUGAAACACUCCAGUGAACACUUUUCUGCAAUUUACCCACUAAGCACAUUGUACAUUUUACAUAGGUACAAGUCAAUAUCAGUGGCAUCAGAAGUCAAUCUCAUGAUAAGAAAUGUCAUUUUCUUAGCAAAUUAUACAAAAUGAUAGGGCUACAUGACGUGACCUAAAAUUUAUACCACAGUAUAGUUUGAAUAUGGAACAGUAACAAGCAUUAUUAUUAAUUAAUUAUUAAUAAAGUUAACAGUGGUUGUGGAGGCAGGGCUUCGUAUUUUAUGGAGGUCAAAAGCUAAUUACACUGCAGAACAGGAAGUUGUGCUUAUAUCUGUUUGUGAUGUUUGUUUGCUUCACUGUCUCACAACAUCCACGGUCAUCUUUGGGAGUUUUGGGCGUUUGUUUAACAUACUGUGAAUUCACCUUUUUUCAACAUUGCCUUAAAGAAAUGUCUCUCAGCUGCCUGUAUGGGCACCAUGUCUUAACAUAGAUGCACAGUAAGUGCAUGAUGUGUCAGUGACUCAGCCAAACGUAUGUCUCCAUGAUGUGUACUUGUGUCAGAGCCAGACAGCAUCUCAAACAUUCCUCGUACCUGUGGAGGUUUUUCCUUUUUUUUUUUCUUGACUUUUUUUACAGCACAUAUUUUGAUUUGUUAUAGUAGAGAAAGCACAGGUGCUGUUCACAUCAACAAUCAGUCACAACAAUGAGUCUGUUCUACUCAGGUGUCUCAGUAAGUGAUGACAGUAGCUCUGUCCAAAGUCACUUCCUAUUAAGUAUAGUGCGUUACAUUUUUGCUCCUUUGUUACGUUAUACUAAUUUCCCAUGAGUGUAAAAUAUAACCAUAAUAUUGUGGCCACAAAAAUUUCCAUAGUGGAAUAACUAAUGUGUCCAUAGGCAUGUACACUAUUUUUACCAGCAAUCCCACAACACGUUGUGCUG
Molecule: RNA transcript, 1964 nt
Organism: Scatophagus argus
Lineage: Eukaryota; Metazoa; Chordata; Actinopteri; Scatophagidae
Gene: scn2b
Gene name: sodium channel, voltage-gated, type II, beta
Exons: 6
Source: RefSeq, a predicted model, not a curated record